CUUGCUUCUUUGCUGGUGACCGGCGCACGGGUGAGUAACACGUAUCCAACCUGCCUUUACUCGGGGAUAGCCUUUCGAAAGAAAGAUUAAUACCCGAUAGUAUAAUGAUUCCGCAUGGUUUCAUUAUUAAAGGAUUCCGGUAAAGGAUGGGGAUGCGUUCCAUUAGGUUGUUGGUGAGGUAACGGCUCACCAAGCCUUCGAUGGAUAGGGGUUCUGAGAGGAAGGUCCCCCACAUUGGAACUGAGACACGGUCCAAACUCCUUACGGGAGGCAGCAUG
This 278-nucleotide ribosomal RNA is filed under the name uncultured bacterium. Its description in RNAcentral is "partial 16S ribosomal RNA". It matches the Rfam family "Bacterial small subunit ribosomal RNA", at positions 73 to 353 of the family's 1533-position model. The record is from RNAcentral.